CUUCAGGAAACCCCAACUUCCUACAAAUGAUGGGACAAGUCAGAAACGACAGUGUAAUAAUAGUGUAGUAACAAAAAUAACUUCUACCAUCUUUAACCAUAGUCAACAUGUGAAUAGUGCAACACUAUUCACUGAAAAUGACAUGGAGUCAUCACAUAAGUAUAUGCAUCACGUUUUAUAAUUCAAGUGUAUAUAUAUAUGUGUGUAUGUAAAGGCGAGUCAUUAUUUUCUGCAAAAUCUGCAGACAAGAAUUUAAAUCAAGGGAGACAUAUCCCCAAAAUCAGGAAGAGCGUUGAAUUAAAAGCUUUCAAUUAUUUUUUUUGUUGCAUGCGAGUGUCGGCAGAAAGUAGUAUAAGGAAGGAGAGUUGUGAAAUUUCAAGUUUCAUAACUUCUCUGAGGCAUCACUUUGCUACACACACCAAAAUCCAGUAUCACACUUCUGCGACGCACUCUCAAACUUCUUUCUACCAAAAUCAUACGCACCUAAAAUCUCUUUUCACCCAAAAUUUUAAGCAAGCAGACAGAAAAGUUUUCCAUCUUUCCUAGCAAGUUUCAAGCAAGCAUUUUUCAAGAAGGAGAAUUUCAAGCAGAAGCACUUCUAAAUAAACCUUUUAUCGUUCUUUUGAGGUCCAUCGCAAGGAAUUUAACUCCAAGUGGGUUAAUAUUGUCAUACGGAGUAAGAAGCAUACGAGGUUGAGCUGUGAUGGAGGGAAGGGUGCUAAUUAAACCAGACCUACUUAUAGUUCCAUACUCUCGGAGGUUCGUGUCUUCAUACAUGGAACCGCGUUCAGUUCCUUCCGCUGUGCAUUAAAGCAAGUGAAAUUCUUUAUUUCUCUAAAGACUCUGAUAAUUAACCAGUAUAUUGUAUUGUCCCCGACUCGAGUCAUUGUGAUCGAGCCAUUCUAUUCAUGUAUUCAAUGUUUAUACUCUACAGUCAGAAAGUUCAACCAUGAAGUCCAUUUUUUUUA
Non-coding RNA from Salvia hispanica, 968 nucleotides. Lineage: Eukaryota; Viridiplantae; Streptophyta; Magnoliopsida; Lamiales; Lamiaceae. The record is from RefSeq and is a predicted model, not a curated record.